This is a non-coding RNA of Fundulus heteroclitus (mummichog), 469 nucleotides long. Lineage: Eukaryota; Metazoa; Chordata; Actinopteri; Cyprinodontiformes; Fundulidae. The record is from the annotation of a RefSeq genome assembly.
UAGAGGAAAGAGCUUCAUUCCCAGCUUCAGUUUCAAGAUGAUGCUGAGACUGUCUGUCCUGUUGCUUGUGAGCUGUCUGCCCUGUUUUAACAGCCAGGCUAUGGAGUCCAUUCCUUCCACCUCAGUGGUGAAAAAGCCUCAAGAAGUUCUCAGUCUGUCCUGCAGAGGAUCUGGGUUUGAUUUCAGUCAGUAUGGAAUGCACUGGAUCAGACAACCAGCAGGAAAACCCCUGGAAUGGAUGGGGCUCAUUUACUAUGAUGCAAGUAAAACAGUUUAUGCCAGCAGUGUUGAUGGACGUAUAGAAAUCACCAGAGACAACAGCAACAGCAUGGUGUAUCUCAGACUGUCAGACCUGAAACCAGAGGACACUGCUGUGUAUUACUGUGCCAAACCCACAGUGGUUAAUGUAAGCAUAGAGGCUGUACAAAAACUCCUCACAUACAGACACACACAAACACAAGAACACUGA